UCACUAGUAGCUUUGUGUCAUUGCUGUUUUGCCGAGUUAUUUUAGACGAAAUAUUAUUAAUUUUUAUACGCUCGUUACUUGUUUUAUUAUUUAAAAUGAACAAAACGAUAAUGGUAAAGCAAUCAUGUACCAAGUUUUUUGUGAUUUUUGGCUGAAUCCCAAGCGGGACAAUUCAAUUCAAUUUUUAGAUUUUGCCAAAGUCAAAGUUGAAAGCAGGAAAAUCUAUGACUGUUGAGCGGUAAAUAAAGCAAUGGCAUUACAAAAUAAUCGACAAACACUCCAAGCGGGACAAAAUUUAUCUCAAAUUAACAAUGUUUAUCAGAGAACUGCCAGCAUGAUAAGUAUUUAUCCCAGUUAUUUACAACUUAAAAGUUGAAUUAUACGUUUUACAAUGGUUGUUAUUAUAGGUAAAUCAAUCAAUACUAUAAGAAAAAUUGUUGAAGGUGAAAAAAAUAAUGGCGUUUUUUCUACACCUGUUAAACAUCAGAAAGGGCGACCAAAGAAAGAUCUUGAUGAUAUGAAGCACCUACCAGCGCAACAAAAGUUUCUGAUGUAAAGCUGUGGUUGCUACCUUUGAUGAAACUAUGCAGAAACCUGAAUUGUUGAUGCUAGUAAAACGCCACAAGCCAGAGGUCAUUUAUGAAAUAGACCAACUUUUGGGAGAUUAUGGUCACAUUGUGAUGGCAGCUGAACAAGCUAUUACUUAUUCCAAGCUAUUACUGCUAAAGAUUGACAGAAUUCAUGCCAACAUAUUAUUAAAAUUGAGAAAGAAUAUUAUGAAAGGGGUUUGACCAUCUAUCAUGAUACUAAGAAUUACUUUUUUACCUCAGAGAAAAUAGCAGCAGCGAAACUACUUCAGAGUCAAAUGAUUCUGUUGUUGUUGCAUUCUAGCCAAGACACAAUACACUUUUUGGGGGUAGAAUAUCUAAAUGAAAGUCUUAUGGAAUCAGACUAAUAUAAAUAGUUAUUUAGUAUUUUUUUAAUAA
Molecule: long non-coding RNA, 986 nt
Organism: Manduca sexta (tobacco hornworm)
Lineage: Eukaryota; Metazoa; Arthropoda; Insecta; Lepidoptera; Sphingidae
Exons: 3
Source: RefSeq, a predicted model, not a curated record